Molecule: ribosomal RNA, 492 nt
Filed under: uncultured bacterium
Lineage: Bacteria
Description: partial 16S ribosomal RNA
Rfam family: Bacterial small subunit ribosomal RNA
Source: RNAcentral
AGUGAACGCUGGCGGCAGGCCUAACACAUGCAAGUCGAACGGCAGCACAGUAAGAGCUUGCUCUUACGGGUGGCGAGUGGCGGACGGGGGAGGAAUACACCGGAAUCUACUCUUUCGUGGGGGAUAACGCAGGGAAACUUACGCUAAUACCGCAUACGACCUACGGGUGAAAGCAGGGGAUCUUCGGACCUUGCGCGAUUGAAUGAGCCGAUGUCGGAUGAGCUCGUUGGCGGGGUAAAGGCGCACCAAGGCGACGAUCGGUAGCUGGUCUGAGAGGAUCGUCACACAGCCGGGAACUGAGACAGGGCCCAGACUCCUACGGUGGGCAGCGGUGGGGAAUAUUGCGCAAUGGACGCGAGCCUGAUCCAGCCAUACCGCGUGAGUGAUGAAGGAGUUCGGGUGGUAAAGCCCUGUUGUUGGGAGAGAAAAACAGCAGGUUAAUACCCCGCGGUACUGACGGUACCCAAAGAAUAAGCACCGGCUAACUUCGUG